RNAcentral lists this non-coding RNA (30 nucleotides) under Rattus norvegicus (Norway rat). Lineage: Eukaryota; Metazoa; Chordata; Mammalia; Rodentia; Muridae. The record is from RNAcentral.
CUCAUUCAAGGAGAUGAGCUACAACCAGGC